RNAcentral lists this unclassified non-coding RNA (266 nucleotides) under Hevea brasiliensis (rubber tree). Lineage: Eukaryota; Viridiplantae; Streptophyta; Magnoliopsida; Malpighiales; Euphorbiaceae. The record is from RNAcentral.
AAAAAAAAAUCCAUCAGAGUUUGUGCAUCCCCAAAUUUACAAAAGACCUACUUUACCUCUGGUCAUAAAAGCAAGGGAGAAAACUUUAUGGGGGAAAAAUUUUGCAACAGCAUUUCGUAAAAACAUUAAUUUUUGGAUGGUAAUGUUGCUCAAGGACCACAGCAGAUGAGGAUCUUCAGUCACACCACUCCUGAGGGAAGGCGGAGAACAAGCUGUCCUCCAAACACACUCUUGACAUAAUAAUAACAGAAGUCUGCUAAGAUGAA